ACUCAUACGGGAGGCAGCAGUGGGGAAUAUUGGACAAUGGGCGCAAGCCUGAUCCAGCAAUACCGCGUGUGUGAAGAAGGCCUGAGGGUUGUAAAGCACUUUUAAUAGGGAGGAACACCUGUAGGCUAAUACCCUGCAGUAUGACAUUACCUAUAGAAAAAGCACCGGCUAACUCCGUGCCAGCAGCCGGGGUAAU
RNAcentral lists this ribosomal RNA (196 nucleotides) under uncultured type I methanotroph. RNAcentral describes it as "partial 16S ribosomal RNA". It matches the Rfam family "Bacterial small subunit ribosomal RNA", at positions 335 to 524 of the family's 1533-position model. The record is from RNAcentral. Lineage: Bacteria; Pseudomonadati; Pseudomonadota; Gammaproteobacteria; Methylococcales; Methylococcaceae.